CUCAAAAACUAUUAAGUAUAAUACAUAUAUUUGUAUACCGAAACGCAGCCAAUUAGUCUACCUUUCUUCCAUUAAAGUUUGACAUUGAUAGCUUUUAUGGUUUUUGAGAUAUAUGACUCGGAAAAAAGGGUGGCCCACUGUUCCAACAAUCACCCUAAAUGGGAAUGACAUUCACUAUCGAUGGGUCACGUGAUCAAGUUGUCGAUCGGACAGAUCAUUAUCAUUUCCAUAUUGUUAGUUUUCAAAGCGUUAGCGUCCGAAUCGACGUACCACAUGGCUAAGGCCUCUGGUCCGAUGCUUGCCUUGCGAUUGUCAACGCUCAAAGAACGCGUGCACUGCUCGCAAGUAAUUCACGCGACGACUAUGCUAUUAAGCUCUGUAUUUUUAGACCACAUUCAUUCGUAUAGUUUACUACAACUAACUACAUGGUUUAACGCUGUUUCUUUGUGACAGCUGCGGGCCGCGGCCAUUGCCAUGGAACCAUGUGCCAGUGCCAGGUGGCUAUAAUGAGCUAUAACCUUAACUUUCAAAAACUUAUGACGAUCCUCUUUUCUAGGCAUCAUGUGUCAAACAUGCAUGUACGCGCCCAUGGAUUACCUACUAGUAAACCUGUCGUGUUGUGUUGCUAUAUUAUUGAGAAUGGUUCAAAUCGAUUUGCUGUCUCUAAAAGGCGUUACUAAUUUGAAAGACUUCUACGAAUAUAAUAAUUGUCAAGACAUAAAUAUUAUCGUGAAAACACAUCAAACUUUAUUGAGGUAGGUUUGGUGACCCUACAGACAAUAUUUUCUUAGAUGUUUUUCUUGUAUUCCUGGGAAAAAAGAAUUCUUGUACCUAAUAAUAGAUGGGAUAUCCUAUGUGUCCUUCUAAGAAAUUAAUUAUCACGUGUCUCAAACGGUGAAGGAUAAACAUUUUGAGGAAAUAUACAUACCUGGACGUAUCUUAAUUCUCUACGUACCUACUUACCUAUGUGAAGUUUGCCAAUCCGCAUUGGACCAUUGGUGGACUAUUGCCUAAUCCCGCUCAUUCUGAGAGAAGAGUCGUGCUCAGCAGUGAGCCGAAAAUGGUUUGCUGAUAAUGAUAUCCUGUAUUUCCUGUAUAUACUUAAGACUAGCUUAUUAUUCCUUUUUUUUGAAAAAAAAUGAAAAAAAAAUCUAUUCAUUACAUCCUAUUCUUUCGUCUCGUUUUUUUAGUCUCGCUGAACGACUAAACAAUAUUUUAAAAGAAAUAAUAUUUUCUCAAGCAUAUCUCUCAUCGGUGAUCAUUUGCUGCUACUUGUUUACGUCCAUGGUAAAGUAUUUCACCUUCUGGUCUCGACGAUUUCUGAGCAUUCUCCGAGGCUAGAAGUUUGCGCGGAAUUUAAUUUCUUUAUGCAAGCCACACACGGUCAAGUUCGCCUUCAAAUCAUUUUGUAAGCAUGUUGUGUUUGCUUCAAUUAGGCAAAAUUACGUGAGGUUGAGAAGAAGCUAUUUUUAAUAUAAGUUAAGUAAUUGUGCCAGUUUAGCAAACCAAUUAAAAAAAAAAAUCUGCAGCGUGCUUAGGGAUGUGAAAGUCAAAAAAAAUAUCGUAACAUGGUUAUGGGUAAGAUUUCAAUAAUUUUUUAACCUAUUGCACAUACCUCUUGGUGUGUCCAUAAAUCGUCGAGGUGACCUUUUUAUGCGAUUUCAUAACUAAAUGUUUUGGUUUAUGUUAACUGUUUGGGACAGUUGCAGAUGAAUAAGUAUGGGAUAACAGCGGUUGUAGGAACAUUGUUGGGUGCGUUUGGUCUCUUGACAGAAAUAUUUAUCUUGUCAAUUCCUGGUCAAAUCCUCGCUAAUAUGGUAAGUUUAAUGGGCAUUUAUUGGAUCGCUGUUAGCCCCAAAGUAGGCGCAAAUUGUGUUAUGGGUAAGUACUCGCACUAAGAUAACUGAUGAAUAUACCUACGUAUAUAAUAUGACAUGUACUUAAAAUUGUACUAUACUGUAAAAUUGGAUGGGUUUUAAACAUUUCUUUAUGUUAAUUAUUCUCACUCUCACUCACUCACACAUAUCAGCCGAUGGAUGUCCACUGCAGGACGUAGGCCUUUUGUAGGGACUUCCAAACAUCACGAUACUGAGCCACCUGCAUUCAGCGAACCCCUGCGACUCGCUUGAUGUCGUCAGUCCACCUGGUGGGGGGUCGGCCAACACUGCGCUAACUAGUGCCCAGAAGAGUUAGAUUCGACGGUUCACCUCUUUCUCGAAAUUGGACCUACCUAACUGGAUCAUAUGUCCUAGGUAUAUGUAUUCAUCUACUACAUACGUCUUUCGGUUGCAGCGCUCUCAACUAUAACUGGGUGGAGCGUAAUUAUUCUACGUAUGUUAAUUAAAUCAUUCUAUGUAUACUACGUUUAACAUUUUAUUUAAUCUCAAGUUAAAUAAUUUCAGAGCGCUGGUGUUGCAGAAGCGGCUUACUUUUCCCCUUGGUAUGAGAGAGGUUAUGCCUUCAGAAAAUAUAUUGCUAUAAUAAUCACAAGGUAACACAGCCCUUUUUUAAUGUACUUACUCUCUUUUAUAUCUAGCUUAGAUGUACCUAUUGAAGUAGUAAGAUGUCGAUGUUAUUUACGUCCUAGUAAGAUGUCGCCCUAAAAAAUGUACCUACGUACCUACAAAAUUUACCCAGAGAUAGCUGAACUAAGCUGUUAAGUAUGACUUCAUUUGGGUUAAAAUUAGUUUUUUUUCUCUUAUAUAAGUACGAGUAUAACCUAUAUAUGUUGCUCCACACUCCACUAUCUAACUGUGAAAACCGCAUGAAAAUCGCUUCAAUAGAUCUAAAGAAUAACGCAAACAGAAGAAAGAAAGAAGUCAGAGAGCCUAAAGACAUCCUAGUUUUUUAAGCACUUUGAUAUAAUAAACUAUAUAUACACUGCAACAGAUAAAUACUUUCAACAAUUCAAAAAACAAUGUUAAGUUUUUUAAAAUAUCCUAAUUGUAUUUAAUUAAUCCAUAUUUAUGUUAUUACAGAGCUCAAAAGCCGUGUUAUCUUUCGGCCUUGGGAUUUGCGAAUCUGACCCUUGUUAUGUUUUCUAAAGUAGCCAGCACUUCGUGGACGUACCUGUCUAUAUUGAAUCAAAUGUUGGAAAAGUUUGAAGCCUAAAGUUUAACGCACAUAAAGUUUCACAAAUCAUUACGCCAGCCACUCACGUCAAGCUUUCUUCAAUUCUGCAGCGCGCUUAGAUAUUUGAAAUUAAAAAAAAACCAUAUCGAAACCAUAUAUACCAAGAAUAUUUCGAUAUAUUUUUUUCACUUGUUCAUCUACGGAAUAUAAUAAUAUUUUCCGUAAAAAACAAAUAUAAUAAUAGGCGAUGUAUCACCUAUUAUAGAACUUUUAACAGCACAAAAGGAAUUUAAAUAAAACAUGAAGUUAAUGUGUUUGUAAUAUUAUUUUGUAUUGUCAAUUUAUAAUAAUAUUUCACAAUAUUUUCAGAAACCCUAAGAAUAAUACAAAUUCAUUACCAAUUACAAUGAUGACUUGGGUUAUUUAUAAAAUGUACAAUAUAAUCUCAUUCGUUUUGAACUUUAUUAGCUUAGGUAUUUAAAUAUUUACAAAAUAUUUUAAAUAUUUUAAAAUUGUAUACAAUAGACUAUAGAUUACAGUGAUAUAAAUACAUAAAAAAUAAGAAUUAC
Long non-coding RNA from Bicyclus anynana (squinting bush brown), 3641 nucleotides. RefSeq lists it as uncharacterized. The transcript has 2 exons. Lineage: Eukaryota; Metazoa; Arthropoda; Insecta; Lepidoptera; Nymphalidae. The record is from RefSeq and is a predicted model, not a curated record.